UGCCUACUUAUCUGAAAAAGACUAUCAUGUGGUACAUACUUUUGUAUUGUUGAAUUGCGAAGAAGUACUACCUUUUGAAAGGAUUUUUGAUGAACAAGUAUACAACAUGUAUGGUGACGUAAAUGACGAGGAAUUGACCAAAAUUAAAGAAAAAGGGUUUGCUACGUGGUUAAAAGAAUAUAUUCGAACGUCACCAGAAGAUCAUCCAUUGUGGUUGCAUGAGCUAGUUCAAGGGCCCAUUUGUCGUGUUACAUGUUGGCCUAUAUUUUUUACCAGAGGCUACGUUUUCCACACACAUGAACACGGACAACAUCGUUCGACACAUAAUUUUGGUGUUUCUGUGAAAGGGUCAGAGUACUGUGCAUCUGAUAACGAACCCGAUUUUUACGGACUACUGCAGCAGAUUUUUGAACUCCAAUAUGCAGGUCAUUUUGGACUCAAAGUGAUGAUGUUCAGAUGUGAUUGGUUUGAUCCUACACCCAUGAGAGGGAUCAGAGUCA
Tarenaya hassleriana is the source of this 500-nucleotide long non-coding RNA. RefSeq lists it as uncharacterized. NCBI's taxonomy places the organism in Eukaryota, Viridiplantae, Streptophyta, Magnoliopsida, Brassicales, Cleomaceae. The record is from RefSeq and is a predicted model, not a curated record. The transcript has 3 exons.